Salvia miltiorrhiza (redroot sage) is the source of this 1063-nucleotide RNA transcript. RefSeq lists it as uncharacterized. The transcript is spliced from 4 exons. NCBI's taxonomy places the organism in Eukaryota, Viridiplantae, Streptophyta, Magnoliopsida, Lamiales, Lamiaceae. The record is from RefSeq and is a predicted model, not a curated record.
AAAAAUUAGCCACGCCUAAUCUAUCUCUCUCUCCUUUCAGUCUCUCUCUUCUCUCACUCUCUCUCUCUAUACUCCUACGGACUUGUGCGCCACGCUGAGGCUGAAUAGCGGCAGAUCGGCGAGGGCGUCGGCGUCUAUGGCGCCGCCGAGGCCCAUGCCCUGGAGCCGCAGCCAUGCGAACGGCGUAGAUCGUCGCCGCCUCAUCUCUUCUCACUCCUUCGACUCCUCGGCCGAACAGCCAUUGGCGGAAGAUUGGUACCGCCGCGCCUCCUCCCUUUCGGUCGGACAACAACCCCAACGACGACUGCCGCCACUCUACCCCCCUCCGUUCACCGUGAAUGGCCAGCGACCUCCGCGACAUCUAUUAUGCUCUAAUCAACAUUCCAUGGACUAUCAACGGCCUCUGAAUCAUCUCCUUCCUCCAUGGUUUAUGUUCACGACGAAAUCUUCUCUCCCUCGAAAUCUUCUUUAUUUGCCUCUCAAUUUUCCUUCGUUAUCUCCAUUGAUUAUGCCCUAAUCAGGAAACUAUCAUUGGCUGAUGCUCUCAAUUCUCCGACCCGACCAUAGAACGUGGCACAGCCGCCAAUGGCUGCCCCGCCGCAGCCGAAAAAUCGCCAUCGCCGCUGAUGCCCAACUUCUCCAAUCGCCCACCCUCUCCGACCCGACCAUGGCACCUGGCACAGCCGCCAAUGGCUGCCCCGCCGUAGGCGAAAAAUCGCCAUCGCCACCGAUGCCCAACUUCUCCGAUCGCCCACCCCUUGCCCUAUCUCACUCGGUUGUCGGGCUAAAAAUCGCCAUCACCGCCGAUGCCCAACUUCUUCGAUCUCCUCCCAUUUUCACACUCGAGUGGCGCCGAGAAGAAGAAACUCUUCGCCUCCAUCGUCAGCUCCUAUCUCCGUUGGAAAUUGUGAAGUGAUAGUGCAAGCGAAGAAUUUCACUUCCGAAUCAAAUGAUGAUAGUUUUCAAAUCUCUAUUUCCAAAACUGCCAAAAUCAGUAUUUCAGUGAUCGGAAAAGCGAAUGAACACGACAAUGGUGGGGGCGGAGGACAUGAGAAAUCUGCUA